AUGCUUAAAGAGAGAGAGCGAGAGACGGGACAAAAGGGUUAUAUUGAAAUAUGCACCAAUAAAAUUUGUGGCACAAAGCACGAAGUCAUCAUUCAAAUGCUGCAAGAGAACGGUGAUCGGCUUCAUACUCAUCCUCAUCCUCGCACCAGGAUAAUAUGUGAAUCUAACAGCCUCCAUGUCAGACACGGACUUCAGGUCACAGAGUUUAGGCUCUGUGAGUUCAAGAAAACACUUCAACAAUGCCGUAGCAAAUGGCUGUUACAUUAUCAGACCCCAAGGAGGCUUUUCUGUGUAAACCUGCUGACCCCGCGCAGGCACGACAUGCCCAUCUGACUGAAAAAAACCCCCGGAGGGCCUGGAUGUGGAGGCCCAAAUCUCGCUUUCUCUCACCUUCCUAAAACACUUCCAGUUGCUGGCUCUCCUCUCUCUGCCGUGGCUCUGACAUCGGUGUUGAAUCUCCUGACUUUGUCUUGAUUGUAUUAAAUCUGCAAAACACAAAUUAAAAUCAAUGUAAAAGAAAUACUUCAGCUUUCUGUGGCUUCUUUGUUUUCUCAGCUUACAAGGAUGAGUAAAGGCAGGUUAACGGGGACAGUGGGCCGAAAGCCAUGGGGGAAGGGCUUUUUUUCGUACAUGCUUUAGCAAUACUAUCCAUUUCACAUUUAAAUGGAGCUUCCUGCUUCAUAAUCAUCAUCUCCUUUGAGGGUAUUUAAAGAAGCAUUGUAAUACAGAACAUGUUUGGAUUUGAGAACAUGUGUCAAGACAAAUAUUUUAGAUGGUUAGAAGCAUUAUUCAACAAAAGUUGCAACCAAUUUCAACCAAGUUUAAGAUUUGAAUAAGUUUAUUUUAUUUAUUUAUUUUAAUUUUAUUAAUGAUUAACUAAAUGAAACAUUUUUACAAUAAUUUAUUUGAAUAUAUGCAGAAAGAAUAUGUAAGAAUUUGCAAUUACAAAAGAAAAUUGUCAAUUUACAAUAGUUAUCAAUAGCUUAUUUUCUAAAUGUAAUCAUGCUGAUGGACCACAUCCACAGAGGCUUUAAAAUGCAUUCAGACAUUUAAAAACUGAUGAAUGUCUUUCUGUUUUGCAAAACAUUUCACAAAAAGUUUGUUAGGUUGCUUGGACUCUUUCAUCCCUCAAUGUUCAGUAUACCUAAGCAAUUAUGAUUUUUAAGACAGCAUAUUUAUUUAAGCGAUAAUGAGGAUAAUGGGCUGUUUUGCGUUUGUGCUGACUCGAGUUUUCAAUCUUUGUUUUAGUUUAAUGUGUUCUGUUUGUUUGUGGUCAAUUCCAGGGCACUUUUGUUUUCUUUCAGCAGGGGUAAUAAACCCAUAAUGCUGUCGGCCA
This is a long non-coding RNA of Cyprinus carpio (common carp), 1336 nucleotides long. NCBI's taxonomy places the organism in Eukaryota, Metazoa, Chordata, Actinopteri, Cypriniformes, Cyprinidae. The record is from Ensembl.